This 414-nucleotide ribosomal RNA is filed under the name uncultured microorganism. Its description in RNAcentral is "bacterial SSU rRNA". It matches the Rfam family "Archaeal small subunit ribosomal RNA", at positions 459 to 872 of the family's 1478-position model. The record is from RNAcentral.
CAGCCGCCGCGGUAAUACCGGCGGCCCGAGUGGCGGUCACUAUUAUUGGGCUUAAAGCGUCCGUAGCCGGGGUGGGAAGUCCUCCGGGAAAUCUGGCCGCUUAACGGUCAGAAUGCCGGAGGAUACUCCCAGCCUAGGGAGCGGGAGAGGCCGAGGGUAUUCCCGGAGUAGGGGUGAAAUCCUAUAAUCCCGGGAGGACCACCUGUGGCGAAGGCGCUCGGCUGGAACGCGUCCGACGGUGAGGGACGAAGGCCAGGGGAGCAAACCGGAUUAGAUACCCGGGUAGUCCUGGCUGUAAACGAUGCGGACUUUGUGUCGGACAAGCUAUGAGCUUGUCCGGUGCCGGAGGGAAACCGUUAAGUCCGCCGCCUGGGGAGUACGGCCGCAAGGCUGAAACUUAAAGGAAUUGGCGGG